Molecule: ribosomal RNA, 373 nt
Filed under: uncultured Leptolinea sp.
Lineage: Bacteria; Bacillati; Chloroflexota; Anaerolineae; Anaerolineales; Anaerolineaceae
Description: bacterial SSU rRNA
Rfam family: Bacterial small subunit ribosomal RNA
Source: RNAcentral
GUGGAGACCGAAAGGUGACCGACCCUUCGGGGAGCUUGCACAGGUGCUGCAUGGCUGUCGUCAGCUCGUGUCGUGAGAUGUUCGGUUAAGUCCGCUAACGAGCGCAACCCUCGCUGUGUGUUAUAUGUGUCACACGGGACUGCCGGUCUUAAGCCGGAGGAAGGUGGGGAUGAUGUCAAGUCAGCAUGGCCUUUAUAUCCUGGGCUACACACACGCUACAAUGGCCAACACAAUAGGUUGCUAAGCCGCGAGGUGGCGCCAAUCCAUAAAGUUGGUCUCAGUUCAGAUUGUAGGCUGCAACCCGCCUGCAUGAAGAUGGAGUUGCUAGUAACCGCAGGUCAGCUAUACUGCGGUGAAUACGUUCCCGGGGCUU